RNAcentral lists this ribosomal RNA (466 nucleotides) under uncultured bacterium. RNAcentral's name for it is "partial 16S ribosomal RNA". It matches the Rfam family "Bacterial small subunit ribosomal RNA", at positions 30 to 507 of the family's 1533-position model. The record is from RNAcentral.
CGAACGCUGGCGGCGUGCUUAACACAUGCAAGUCGAACGGAAAGGCCCUGCUUUUGUGGGGUGCUCGAGUGGCGAACGGGUGAGUAACACGUGAGUAACCUGCCCUUGACUUUGGGAUAACUUCAGGAAACUGGGGCUAAUACCGGAUAGGAGCUCCUGCUGCUUGGUGGGGGUUGGAAAGUUUCGGCGGUUGGGGAUGGACUCGCGGCUUAUCAGCUUGUUGGUGGGGUAGUGGCUUACCAAGGCUUUGACGGGUAGCCGGCCUGAGAGGGUGACCGGCCACAUUGGGACUGAGAUACGGCCCAGACUCCUACGGGAGGCAGCAGUGGGGAAUAUUGCACAAUGGGCGGAAGCCUGAUGCAGCAACGCCGCGUGCGGGAUGACGGCCUUCGGGUUGUAAACCGCUUUCGCCUGUGACGAAGCGUGAGUGACGGUAAUGGGUAAAGAAGCACCGGCUAACUACGUG